Molecule: ribosomal RNA, 206 nt
Filed under: uncultured bacterium
Lineage: Bacteria
Description: partial 16S ribosomal RNA
Rfam family: Bacterial small subunit ribosomal RNA
Source: RNAcentral
UGCGUAGGUGGUUUCUUAAGUCAGAGGUGAAAGGCUACGGCUCAACCGUAGUAAGCCUUUGAAACUGGGAAACUUGAGUGCAGGAGAGGAGAGUGGAAUUCCUAGUGUAGCGGUGAAAUGCGUAGAUAUUAGGAGGAACACCAGUUGCGAAGGCGGCUCUCUGGACGGUAACUGACGUUGAGGCUCGAAAGCGUGGGGAGCAAACA